UGAUGAUUGAAAUAUGAUGAGUAUGCGAAAUGUUGAUUAAGGUGAAAACAAUAAGAUCCAACUCUGAUUUCAUCAAAA
This 78-nucleotide small nucleolar RNA is filed under the name Neotoma lepida (desert woodrat). Its description in RNAcentral is "Small nucleolar RNA SNORD19B". It matches the Rfam family "Small nucleolar RNA SNORD19B". The record is from Rfam by way of RNAcentral. Lineage: Eukaryota; Metazoa; Chordata; Mammalia; Rodentia; Cricetidae.